CGGGGCGUAGCUCAGUCUGGUAGAGCUCCGGCUUCGGGAGCCGGGUGUCGCAGGUUCAAAUCCUGUCGCCCCGA
This is a transfer RNA of Thermodesulfobacterium geofontis OPF15, 74 nucleotides long. It matches the Rfam family "tRNA". From Rfam's summary of the family: Transfer RNA (tRNA) molecules are approximately 80 nucleotides in length. Their secondary structure includes four short double-helical elements and three loops (D, anti-codon, and T loops). Further hydrogen bonds mediate the characteristic L-shaped molecular structure. tRNAs have two regions of fundamental functional importance: the anti-codon, which is responsible for specific mRNA codon recognition, and the 3' end, to which the tRNAs corresponding amino acid is attached (by aminoacyl-tRNA synthetases). tRNAs cope with the degeneracy of the genetic code in two manners: having more than one tRNA (with a specific anti-codon) for a particular amino acid; and 'wobble' base-pairing, i.e. permitting non-standard base-pairing at the 3rd anti-codon position. NCBI's taxonomy places the organism in Bacteria, Pseudomonadati, Thermodesulfobacteriota, Thermodesulfobacteria, Thermodesulfobacteriales, Thermodesulfobacteriaceae. The record is from Rfam.